This 74-nucleotide transfer RNA is filed under the name Pseudidiomarina halophila. RNAcentral's name for it is "tRNA-Cys". It matches the Rfam family "tRNA". Rfam says of the family: Transfer RNA (tRNA) molecules are approximately 80 nucleotides in length. RNAcentral also lists the same sequence under 1 other name. The record is from RNAcentral. Lineage: Bacteria; Pseudomonadati; Pseudomonadota; Gammaproteobacteria; Alteromonadales; Idiomarinaceae.
GGUGCGGUGGCGGAGUGGCUACGCAGCGGAUUGCAAAUCCGUGUACACCGGUUCGAUUCCGGUCCGCACCUCCA